Molecule: ribosomal RNA, 497 nt
Filed under: uncultured bacterium
Lineage: Bacteria
Description: partial 16S ribosomal RNA
Rfam family: Bacterial small subunit ribosomal RNA
Source: RNAcentral
GAUGAACGCUGGCGGCGUGCCUAAUACAUGCAAGUCGAGCGAACGGACGAGAAGCUUGCUUUUCUGAUGUUAGCGGCGGACGGGUGAGUAACACGUGGAUAACCUACCUAUAAGACGGGGAUAACAUCGGGAAACCGGAGCUACUACCGGAUAAUAUUUUGAACCGCAUGGUUCAAAAGUGAAAGACGGUCUUGCUGUCACUUAUAGAUGGAUCCGCGCUGCAUUAGCUAGUUGGUAAGGUAACGGCUUACCAAGGCAACGAUGCAUAGCCGACCUGAGGGGGUGAUCGGCCACACUGGAACUGAGACACGGUCCAGACUCCUACGGGAGGCAGCAGUAGGGAAUCUUCCGCAAUGGGCGAAAGCCUGACGGAGCAGCGCCGCGUGAGUGAUGAAGGUCUUCGGAUCGUAAAACUCUGUUAUUAGGGAAGAACAUAUGUGUAAGUAACUGUGCACAUCUUGACGGUACCUAAACAGAAAGCCACGGCUAACUACGUG